RNAcentral lists this unclassified non-coding RNA (402 nucleotides) under uncultured Inocybe. Its description in RNAcentral is "sequence contains ITS2". The stretch from base 1 to 154 matches the Rfam family "5.8S ribosomal RNA". The record is from RNAcentral. Lineage: Eukaryota; Fungi; Basidiomycota; Agaricomycetes; Agaricales; Cortinariaceae.
AACUUUCAGCAACGGAUCACUCGGUUCUCGCAUCGAUGAAGAACGCAGCGAAAUGCGAUAAGUAAUGUGAAUUGCAGAAUUCAGUGAAUCAUCGAAUCUUUGAACGCAACUUGCGCUCCUUGGUACUCUGAGGAGCAUGCCUGUUUGAGUGUCAUUAAACUUCUUCUCAACCCAUCCAGUUUCUCUGUGCGUGGGCUUUGUAAAAUUGGGGCCUUGCUGGUUAACUAGUUGUCCAGCUAUCCUGAAAAGCAUUGGCGGCAUCUGGGCUGCUUGCAGGUGUGUUAACUUGUCUACACCUUUGCAGUGGCUGCAUUUGUGCUGCUUUAGAGGGCAUUGAUGAAAUUUAACCUCAAAUCAGGUAGGACUACCCGCUGAACUUAAGCAUAUCAAUAAGCGGAGGCU